Molecule: ribosomal RNA, 460 nt
Filed under: uncultured bacterium
Lineage: Bacteria
Description: partial 16S ribosomal RNA
Rfam family: Bacterial small subunit ribosomal RNA
Source: RNAcentral
CCUACGGGUGGCAGCAGUGAGGAAUAUUGGUCAAUGGGCUUACGCCUGAACCAGCCAAGCCGCGUGAGGGAAGACUGUCCCAUGGGUUGUAAACCUCUUUUGUCAGGGAGCAACGCCGGCCACGUGAACCCGGCCUGAGAGUACCUGAAGAAAAAGCAUCGGCUAACCCCGUGCCAGCAGCCGCGGUAAUACGGAGGAUGCGAGCGUUAUCCGGAUUUAUUGGGUUUAAAGGGUGCGUAGGCGGAAUGCCAAGUCAGCGGUAAAAUCGCGGGGCUCAACCUCGCUCCGCCGUUGAAACUGGCGGUCUUGAGAGGGCGAGAGGUAUGCGGAAUGCGGAGUGUAGCGGUGAAAUGCAUAGAUAUCGCGCAGAACUCCGAUUGCGAAGGCAGCAUACCGGCGGCGAGCUGACGCUGAGGCACGAAAGCGUGGGUAUCGAACAGGAUUAGAUACCCUUGUAGUC